This 256-nucleotide ribosomal RNA is filed under the name uncultured prokaryote. RNAcentral's name for it is "partial 16S ribosomal RNA". It matches the Rfam family "Bacterial small subunit ribosomal RNA", at positions 522 to 777 of the family's 1533-position model. The record is from RNAcentral.
AAUACAGAGGUGGCAAGCGUUGUUCGGAAUUACUGGGCGUAAAGGGCGCGUAGGCGGCCUUCUAAGUCGGACGUGAAAUCCCCAGGCUUAACUUGGGAACUGCGUCCGAUACUGGAGGGCUCGAGUGCGGGAGAGGGAUGUGGAAUUCCAGGUGUAGCGGUGAAAUGCGUAGAUAUCUGGAGGAACACCGGUGGCGAAGGCGGCAUCCUGGACCGACACUGACGCUGAUGCGCGAAAGCCAGGGGAGCAAACGGGA